GACGAACGCUGGCGGCGUGCUUAACACAUGCAAGUCGAACGGAAAGGCCCUGCUUUUGUGGGGUGCUCGAGUGGCGAACGGGUGAGUAACACGUGAGUAACCUGCCCUUGACUUUGGGAUAACUUCAGGAAACUGGGGCUAAUACCGGAUAGGAGCUCCUGCUGCAUGGUGGGGGUUGGAAAGUUUCGGCGGUUGGGGAUGGACUCGCGGCUUAUCAGCUUGUUGGUGGGGUGGUGGCUUACCAAGGCUUUGACGGGUAGCCGGCCUGAGAGGGUGACCGGCCACAUUGGGACUGAGAUACGGCCCAGACUCCUACGGGGGGCAGCAGUGGGGAAUAUUGCACAAUGGGCGGAAGCCUGAUGCAGCAACGCCGCGUGCGGGAUGACGGCCUUCGGGUUGUAAACCGCUUUCGCCUGUGACGAAGCGUGAGUGACGGUAAUGGGUAAAGAAGCACCGGCUAACUACGUG
RNAcentral lists this ribosomal RNA (468 nucleotides) under uncultured bacterium. RNAcentral's name for it is "partial 16S ribosomal RNA". It matches the Rfam family "Bacterial small subunit ribosomal RNA", at positions 28 to 507 of the family's 1533-position model. The record is from RNAcentral.